UUGGACCUGAUAUCAGNCAAGCAC
Molecule: ribosomal RNA, 24 nt
Filed under: Globisporangium irregulare
Lineage: Eukaryota; Oomycota; Peronosporomycetes; Pythiales; Pythiaceae
Description: Pythium irregulare partial 28S ribosomal RNA
Source: RNAcentral